This 900-nucleotide ribosomal RNA is filed under the name Aspergillus sp. RNAcentral's name for it is "partial large subunit ribosomal RNA". It matches the Rfam family "Eukaryotic large subunit ribosomal RNA", at positions 36 to 967 of the family's 3401-position model. Lineage: Eukaryota; Fungi; Ascomycota; Eurotiomycetes; Eurotiales; Aspergillaceae. The record is from RNAcentral.
UAGCAUAUCAAUAAGCGGAGGAAAAGAAACCAACAGGGAUUGCCUUAGUAACGGCGAGUGAAGCGGCAACAGCUCAAAUUUGAAAUCUGGACCUAGUCCCGAGUUGUAAUUUGCAGAGGAUGAUUUUGGCGCGGUGCCUUCCAAGUUCCCUGGGACGGGACGCCGGAGAGGGUGAGAGCCCCGUCAGGUUGGACACCAAGCCUAUGUAAAUCUCCUUCGACGAGUCGAGUAGUUUGGGAAUGCUGCUCUAAAUGGGAGGUAUAUGUCUUCUAAAGCUAAAUACCGGCCAGAGACCGAUAGCGCACAAGUAGAGUGAUCGAAAGAUGAAAAGCACUUUGGAAAGAGAGUUAAACAGCACGUGAAAUUGUUAAAAGGGAAGCGUUUACGACCAGACUUGUGCCGGUUGAUCAUCCAGCGUUCUCGCUGGUGCACUCUGCCGGCCCAGGCCAGCAUCAGUUCGCCGCGGGGGAUAAAGGCGUCGGGAAUGUGGCUCCCCCGGGAGUGUUAUAGCCCUUCGCGCAAUACCCUGAGGCGGACUGAGGUUCGCGCAUUCGCAAGGAUGCUGGCGUAAUGGUCGUCAACGACCCGUCUUGAAACACGGACCAAGGAGUCGUCUUCGUAUGCGAGUGUUCGGGUGUAAAACCCCUACGCGUAAUGAAAGUGAACGCAGGUGAGAGCUUCGGCGCAUCAUCGACCGAUCCUGAUGUUCUCGGAUGGAUUUGAGUAAGAGCAUACGGGGCCGGACCCGAAAGAAGGUGAACUAUGCCUGUAUAGGGUGAAGCCAGAGGAAACUCUGGUGGAGGCUCGCAGCGGGUUCUGACGUGCAAAUCGAUCGUCAAAUAUGGGGCAUGGGGGGCGAAAGACUAAUCGAACCUUCUAGUAGCUGGUUUCCGCCGAUCU